GGAAGGAUCAUUAACACGUAUCCAACGUACAAACCCCUUUAUACGAACCAUAACCCGCCCUUUGACUGCGUUUGCGUCGGUUCCUUCGGGAAUCGGACAAAGCAGCGUGCAGCUGGGAACGGCUGCAUUGCUGGCGCUCUGCCUUUGCUUGCAAAGGUACCCCGCGCAGUGACUGUUGUGCCUUUUUCACUUUUUUCAACCCAUUCUCUGGUUUGACGAAAAACAACACUUCUUGUCGAGGCGCCGUUCGCGGCACUUGCAGGAUUUUAUUUAUUGAACUCUGAACAACUUUUAGCAACGGAUGUCUUGGUUCUCGCAACGAUGAAGAACGCAGCGAAAUGCGAUACGUAAUGUGAAUUGCAGAAUUCAGUGAAUCAUCGAAUCUUUGAACGCAAAUUGCACUUCGGGGAAUCCCCUGGAGUAUGCUUCUUUGAGUAUCGGUUCUAUCUAUCUCGAAUCCACUUCGUGUGGGUCCUAGAGAAGAGAUUGGGCGUUUCGUCGUCACCGGCGCAUCGCCUCAAAUGGACGGUUACAGCUCCUCGUGCUGCUGUGGCGUGAAAAGAUAGGCGGCCUUCGUGCUGCUCUUUCGCUGUCUUCGGAUAGCUAUCUUUUUCUCUGCUUGCAGUGGCCGCUCUGCAAAGAGCGGGAGUUUGUCUGCCGACACGCAGUUCGUGCGCUUGUAAGCGAGCGGCUGCGAGUCAACUUUACAACAAAUCUGAUCUCAAAUGAAGUAAGAGGACCCCCUGAAUUUAAGCAUAUCAUUAAGGGGAGGAAAAGAAACUAACAAGGAUUCCCCCAGUAACGGCGAGUGAAGCGGGAAAAGCUCAAGCUUAAAAUCGGUUGCCCUUGCGGUGAUCGAAUUGUAGUCUAGAGGAGUGUGGUCAGCGCGUGGCCCGGACCUAAGUCCUUUGGAACAGGGCGUCAGAGAGGGUGAGAACCCCGUCUUUGGUUCGGAGACCGCCGCGUACGAUACGCUUUCGAAGAGUCGGGUUGCUUGGGACUGCAGCCCUAAUUGGAUGGUAAAUUUCAUCUAAAGCUAAAUAUUGGCGAGAGACCGAUAGCGAACAAGUACCGUGAGGGAAAGAUGAAAAGAACUUUGAAAAGAGAGUUAAAAAGUGCCUGAAAUUGCUAAAAGGGAAGCGAUGAAAAUCAGUCGUGUGAGCGUAGUCAAAUUCCUCCCGGCAGUGGAUCCAGACGGCGAGUCACCGCAAGGGGCUCGACGGCUGGUGAGUGCUGCCUGCAGUUUCUGAUUGCGUUCGAGUUCCAGGAUCAGUUCGGUGCAUCUCAGAACCGCUCGGGGAAGGUAGGUUAGAUGGCGCAAGCUUGAAAACUGUUACAGCCCCGGGUAGCGUGAGUGUGUACUGGACUGAGGCUUCUAUUGAAGGCAAGGCGCGCCCUUUGGCGAGACGGCGGCACCCCGGGUCGUGGGGAGGCUGGAAUGCAAUGCAUUGCUGCUUCCGUAACGGCUUGCUGGUGUUGUCCACUUUCUGCGCUUUCGCGAUCCUGGAGAAAUGGUUUUCACCGACCCGUCUUGAAACACGGACCAAGGAGUCUAACAUAUAUGCGAGUAUUUGGGUGUAAAACCCUGAUGCGCAAUGAAAGUGAAGGCAGGCGAUCUCGUCUGCUGAAGUGUGAUCCGCAAGGAGCAACAUUGACCGAUCUGUCAUUUAUGAAAGAUUUGAGUAAAAGCAUAUCUGUCGGGACCCGAAAGAUGGUGAACUAUGCCUGGACAGGGCGAAGCCAGGGGAAACUCUGGUGGAGGCUCGUAGCGAUACUGACGUGCAAAUCGUUCGUCUGAUCUGGGUAUAGGGGCGAAAGACUAAUCGAACCAUCUAGUAGCUGGUUCCCUC
Molecule: unclassified non-coding RNA, 1850 nt
Filed under: uncultured fungus
Lineage: Eukaryota; Fungi
Description: sequence contains 18S rRNA gene, ITS1, 5.8S rRNA gene, ITS2, 28S rRNA gene
Rfam family: Eukaryotic large subunit ribosomal RNA (bases 717-1850)
Source: RNAcentral